This 1271-nucleotide long non-coding RNA is filed under the name Salmo salar (Atlantic salmon). RNAcentral describes it as "lncRNA (ENSSSAG00000096525.1)". Lineage: Eukaryota; Metazoa; Chordata; Actinopteri; Salmoniformes; Salmonidae. The record is from RNAcentral.
UCCCCUCCAAGUCUCUGACCACUACCUUGUAUCCUUUUCCCUCUCGCUCUCAUCCAACACUUCUCACUCUGCCCCUACUCGGAUGGUAUUGCGGCGUCCCAACCUUCGCUCUCUCUCUCCCGCUACUCUCUCCUCUUCCAUCCUAUCAUCUCUUCCCUCUGCUCAAACCUUCUCCAACCUAUCUCCUGAUUCUGCCUCCUCAACCCUCCUCUCCUCCCUCUCUGCAUCCUUUGAUUUUCUCUGUCCCCUAUCCUCCAGGCCGGCUCGGUCCUCCCCUCCUGCUCCGUGGCUCGACGACUCACUGCGAGCUCACAGAACAGGGCUCCGGGCAGCCGAGCGGAAAUGGAGGAAAACUCGCCUCCCCCGCGGACCUGGCAUCCUUUCACUCCCUCCUCUCUACAUUUUCCUCUUCUGUCUCUGCUGCUAAAGCCACUUUCUACCACUCUAAAUUCCAAGCAUCUGCCUCUAACCCUAGGAAGCUCUUUGCUACCUUCUCCUCCCUCCUGAAUCCUCCUCCCCUCCCCCCCUCCUCCCUCUCUGCAGAUGACUUCGUCAACCAUUUUGAAAAGAAAGUUGACGACAUCCGAUCCUCGUUUGCUAAGUCAAACGACACCGCUGGUCCUGCUCACACUGCCCUACCCUGUGCUUUGACCUCUUUCUCCCCUCUCUCUCCAGAUGAAAUCUCGCGUCUUGUGACGGCCGGCCGCCCAACAACCUAACCACUUGACCCUAUCCCAUUCUCUCUUCUCCAGACCAUUUCCGGAGACCUUCUCCCCUACCUCACCUCGCUCAUCAACUCAUCCUUGACCGCUGGCUACGUCCCUUCCGUCUUCAAGAGAGCGAGAGUUGCACCCCUUCUGGAAAAACCUACACUCGAUCCCUCCGAUGUCAACAACUACAGACCAACCUAUCUGCUGCCUUUGAUACUGUGAACCAUCAGAUCCUCCUCUCCACCCUCUCCGAGUUGGGCAUCUCCGGCGCGUCCCACGCUUGGAUUUUGUCCUACCUGACAGGUCGCUCCUACCAGGUGGCGUGGCGAGAAUCUGUCUCCGCACCACAUGCUCUCACCACUGGUGUCCCCCAGGGCUCUGUUCUAGGCCCUCUCCUAUUCUCGCUAUACACCAAGUCUCUUGGCUCUGUCAUAUCCUCACAUGGUCUCUCCUAUCAUUGCUAUGCAGACAACACACAAUUAAUCUUCUCCUUUCCCCCUUCUGACAACCAGGUGGUGAAUCGCAUCUCUGCAUGUCUGGCAGACAUAUCAGUGUGGAUGA